GGGCGUAGCUUAAUGGUAGAGUCUCUGGUUUCCAACCAGAUUACGUGGGUUCGAUUCCCAUCGCCC
This 66-nucleotide transfer RNA is filed under the name marine eukaryotic metagenome. It matches the Rfam family "tRNA". Rfam says of the family: Transfer RNA (tRNA) molecules are approximately 80 nucleotides in length. Their secondary structure includes four short double-helical elements and three loops (D, anti-codon, and T loops). The record is from RNAcentral.